UACGAGGGGGGCGAGCGUUGUUCGGAAUUAUUGGGCGUAAAGGGUGCGUAGGCGGUUUGGUAAGUCUCUUGUGAAAACUCCGGGCUCAACUCGGAGCCUGCAGGAGAAACUGCCGGGCUUGAGUGUGGGAGAGGUGAGUGGAAUUCCUGGUGUAGCGGUGAAAUGCGUAGAUAUCAGGAGGAACACCUGUGGCGAAGGCGGCUCACUGGACCAUAACUGACGCUGAUGCACGAAAGCUAGGGGAG
Molecule: ribosomal RNA, 245 nt
Filed under: uncultured bacterium
Lineage: Bacteria
Description: partial 16S ribosomal RNA
Rfam family: Bacterial small subunit ribosomal RNA
Source: RNAcentral